RNAcentral lists this long non-coding RNA (1244 nucleotides) under Homo sapiens (human). RNAcentral describes it as "HSALNT0393793". Lineage: Eukaryota; Metazoa; Chordata; Mammalia; Primates; Hominidae. The record is from RNAcentral.
ACUAGGACUCAAUGAAAUUGCUGCCCCCAUGUUCCUGAGGCUCUGCAAGCUGAAGCUUAUUUCUCAUGAUAUAGGCAAGAAAAAUGUGUCAGGUUGCCACCACCUUCCUCCCUGGGCCAGAAUUUUCUGCUCUUACGAUGCUGAUGAUUGUCUAAGAUUGCACCAUCCACCCUGGAGGUUGCUGACUCCCAUUUGAUUGCUGGCCUGCCACUCAUCCUGUGCUGUUUUCUUGGAGCCUGACCUCCUCAGUGAUUGCUGCUGGAGAGACUGAAUGGUGCAACCUGGAAGUGCGGUGUAGCUGAUGCUCUGUGGUGGAAACUGACCAGAUGGAGAGAGGAGUCUGCAGAGAAGUCUUCUCUUUCUUCCUCACCCCAUAGUAAGCCCACACAGAGUUCUGGUCCUCACCACAGUGCCUUAGGGAAUGGAGCUCCCAGGAUGCCCACUUGAGCUGGUUCUCCACAGCAUCAAGCUCAGAACUUGGUAAUCCCUGAGCUUCUUCUUGAGAUACCAUGUCUUCUACUAGUACUUCCCGUUUUCGUCGACGGAGAGAAACCUGGAAACAGAAAGAUUUGAUUCAGAGAAGGAACUGUAAUGAGAAUCAGAACUAAAAACACGUAAGAGAAACCCCAUGAAACAAAUACUGCAGAAGCCUAGAUGGCAAAGCGGCACAGAUAACAAGGAGUGGUAGGGGAAUGGGGGAAAAGGCAUAAACAUAAUUCUAACUUAGUUGAGUGGAAUUAAUUCAGCAGCUUUGCCUACUACCUAUGCCAGUGCUUCUGACACAGGAAAUGACACAAGCAGGCUCACCGGUUGUCCAGGGUCAUCAAGUUCACUCUCCAAAUCCUCCAGCACUGUCACUGCCUCCUCUCCAUUCUCUGGAUGAUGAUCUCGAACCCAAGUCUGUAGCUCUUUGGGUAGGAUGGCAACAAACUGCUCCAGCACUACCAGCUCCAAGAUUUGUUCUUUUGUGUGCGUCUCUGGCCUGAGCCACAGACGGCAAAGUUCUCGGAGCUGGCUCACAGCCUCACGGGGCCCAGGUGAAUCCUGGUAUCCAAACUGCCUGAAUCGCUGUCGGAAAAUCUCUGGGUCUGGGAGAUGGUUCCAGGGGAUACUUGAUCCCUCUUCGCCAUCAGGAUCCUCCUCCAACUUCACUCUCAGAAUUUUUUCCUCUUCAUCUGGAGUUGGGAUGAUAAGUAUUGAAUCUUCUUCCACUGACUGUGCAGACAUUCUGAUUUAUAAUAUUU